Molecule: ribosomal RNA, 896 nt
Filed under: uncultured Azospira sp.
Lineage: Bacteria; Pseudomonadati; Pseudomonadota; Betaproteobacteria; Rhodocyclales; Rhodocyclaceae
Description: bacterial SSU rRNA
Rfam family: Bacterial small subunit ribosomal RNA
Source: RNAcentral
CGUGCCAGCAGCCGCGGUAAUACGUAGGGUGCGAGCGUUAAUCGGAAUUACUGGGCGUAAAGCGUGCGCAGGCGGUUUCGUAAGACAGACGUGAAAUCCCCGGGCUCAACCUGGGAACUGCGUUUGUGACUGCGAGGCUAGAGUACGGCAGAGGGGGGUAGAAUUCCACGUGUAGCAGUGAAAUGCGUAGAGAUGUGGAGGAAUACCGAUGGCGAAGGCAGCCCCCUGGGUUAGUACUGACGCUCAUGCACGAAAGCGUGGGGAGCAAACAGGAUUAGGUACCCUGGUAGUCCACGCCCUAAACGAUGUCAACUAGGUGUUGGAAGGGUUAAACCUUUUAGUACCGCAGCUAACGCGUGAAGUUGACCGCCUGGGGAGUACGGCCGCAAGGUUAAAACUCAAAGGAAUUGACGGGGACCCGCACAAGCGGUGGAUGAUGUGGAUUAAUUCGAUGCAACGCGAAAAACCUUACCUACCCUUGACAUGCCAGGAACUUUCCAGAGAUGGAUUGGUGCCCGAAAGGGAGCCUGGACACAGGUGCUGCAUGGCUGUCGUCAGCUCGUGUCGUGAGAUGUUGGGUUAAGUCCCGCAACGAGCGCAACCCUUGUCAUUAAUUGCCAUCAUUCAGUUGGGCACUUUAAUGAGACUGCCGGUGACAAACCGGAGGAAGGUGGGGAUGACGUCAAGUCCUCAUGGCCCUUAUGGGUAGGGCUUCACACGUCAUACAAUGGUCGGUACAGAGGGUUGCCAAGCCGCGAGGUGGAGCCAAUCCCAGAAAGCCGAUCGUAGUCCGGAUCGCAGUCUGCAACUCGACUGCGUGAAGUCGGAAUCGCUAGUAAUCGCGGAUCAGCAUGUCGCGGUGAAUACGUUCCCGGGUCUUGUACACACCGCCCCUC